This is a non-coding RNA of Chloroflexi bacterium RBG_13_53_26, 143 nucleotides long. The record is from Rfam. NCBI's taxonomy places the organism in Bacteria, Bacillati, Chloroflexota.
AAAGAAAUAGAAUUGUUGCCAUAGAUAGCAGGUGUCCCUAGGGCUUAAAGCGUUUGCCUGCCGAGGCAUAUCAGUCAAUCCUGGAACUGAACUGGUAUAUAUCAAGCCCCGGGCAACGAUUCCCGGGGUUUAUCUUUUCAAGC